AGCAGCCGCGGUAAUUCCAGCUCCAAUAGCGUAUAUUAAAGUUGUUGCAGUUAAAAAGCUCGUAGUUGAAUUUCGGGAUCAAUUUAUCGGUCGUGCCAAUGGUAUGAACUGGUACAAUUGGUUUCUCCCUUCUGACGAAGCAUGAUGUCAUUAAUUUGGUGUCGUGGGGAAUCAGGACUGUUACUUUGAAAAAAUUAGAGUGUUUAAAGCAAGCAUUAGCUUGAAUACAUUAGCAUGGAAUAAUGAAAUAGGACGUUUGAUCCUAUUUCGUUGGUUUCUAGGAUCGACGUAAUGAUUAAUAGGGAUAGUUGGGGGCAUUAGUAUUCAAUUGUCAGAGGUGAAAUUCUUGGAUUUAUUGAAGACUAACUACUGCGAAAGCAUUUGCCAAGGAUGUUUUCAUUAAUCAAGAACGAAAGUUAGGGGAUCGAAGACGAUCAGAUACCGUCGUAGUCUUAACCAUAAGCUAUGCCGACUAGGGAUCGGAUGAUGUUAAUUUUUUAAUGACUCA
Molecule: ribosomal RNA, 508 nt
Filed under: uncultured fungus
Lineage: Eukaryota; Fungi
Description: SSU rRNA
Rfam family: Eukaryotic small subunit ribosomal RNA
Source: RNAcentral